RNAcentral lists this ribosomal RNA (569 nucleotides) under uncultured Rhizoscyphus. Its description in RNAcentral is "eukaryotic LSU rRNA". The stretch from base 218 to 371 matches the Rfam family "5.8S ribosomal RNA". The record is from RNAcentral. Lineage: Eukaryota; Fungi; Ascomycota; Leotiomycetes; Helotiales; Helotiaceae.
AGGAAGUAAAAGUCGUAACAAGGUUUCCGUAGGUGAACCUGCGGAAGGAUCAUUAAAGAAUGCCCCGUUUUUUGAAAUGGGUUCUAUUCCCAAACCGUGUAUAUAUACCUUUGUUGCUUUGGCAGGCCGCCUUCGGGCGUCGGCUCACGCUGACCGCGCCUGCCAGAGGACCCCAACUCGUUUGUUUAGUGAUGUCUGAGUACUAUAUAAUAGUUAAAACUUUCAACGACGGAUCUCUUGGUUCUGGCAUCGAUGAAGAACGCAGCGAAAUGCGAUAAGUAAUGUGAAUUGCAGAAUUCAGUGAAUCAUCGAAUCUUUGAACGCACAUUGCGCCCCUUGGUAUUCCGAGGGGCAUGCCUGUUCGAGCGUCAUUAUGACCACUCAAGCCUAGCUUGGUAUUGGGGUUCGCGGUCUCGCGGCCCUUAAAAUCAGUGGCGGUGCCAUCUGGCUCUAAGCGUAGUAAUUUAUCUCGCUAUUGGGUCCGGUGGUUGCUUGCCAACAACCCCCAACUUCUAAGGUUGACCUCGGAUCAGGUAGGGAUACCCGCUGAACUUAAGCAUAUCAAUAAG